This 285-nucleotide unclassified non-coding RNA is filed under the name uncultured fungus. RNAcentral describes it as "partial contains small subunit ribosomal RNA, internal transcribed spacer 1, and 5.8S ribosomal RNA". The stretch from base 1 to 73 matches the Rfam family "Eukaryotic small subunit ribosomal RNA", at positions 1759 to 1831 of the family's 1831-position model. Lineage: Eukaryota; Fungi. The record is from RNAcentral.
GCAAACUUGGUCAUUUAGAGGAAGUAAAAGUCGUAACAAGGUCUCCGUUGGUGAACCAGCGGAGGGAUCAUUACCGAGUUUACAACUCCCAAACCCCUGUGAACAUACCUAUCGUUGCUUCGGCGGGAUCGCCCCGGCGCCCCCGUGCCCGGAUCCAGGCGCCCGCCGGAGGACCCCAAACUCUUGUUUAUCCCCCCGGGAUGUAUCCUCUGAGCGGUACAAGCAAAUCAAAUCAAAACUUUCAACAACGGAUCUCUUGGUUCCCGCAUCGAUGAAGAACGCAGC